UUAGCCCAGGAAACCGCAGAGCCCUCUAGGGCCCCGCUAGCCUUUCAGCGUCUCUCACCCUUGGUCCCGCCCAACACGGCACCCACCGGGUCACGGGAGGACAAGCGACCCAAGCCUGGGGGGCGGUGCUGGCCUUGGUGACGUCUCAAUGUCAUAUGCAAAUAGUGCGACGUCAAGGUCUACCGGCGCGCGGCAACCAAUAGGGAGCCCGGAACGCAGCCCCAGCGGCCGGCCGUGGAGAUAGACAAAGGCCCCGACACAGGGGGCGCAGGGCGUGUCCCCGGGCUCAGGGAGCCCCGGGGCCCAAGCUGGCGGGGACUCACCUGGGACCCGGAGCGACGCGGCAGGCGGGGUGAUGCUGAGCUGAUCGUGACAUCACAAAGGGGCCCGCCCGCCGCGCGUCACUGGCCGCCGAAGAGGUAUCCAAUCCCAGGCUGCGGAUUCCCCACUCCCCGCCCCUCCAUGGUUUGUUGGCUAGUGACUCCAGUUCAGAAGCCGCACUUAGAGCCUCCGGGUGCCACCUGGAGAGGCGAAUGCCAGAGGGUUAAAUCUCUACUCCCGGCCACUUGCAGACCUCUCAAUGAAGGCGAUCCCCAUUCCUUCCUGGGGAAUCCUCCUCUCCCCGCUUUCUCCCAGCGCAUUUACCCCUCCCACUGCUCCUGUAUCCUUUCUCCUGCAUACUAUGCCCAAUUUCCCUGAUCUGUGUGUAUCUCGUUUCUACACAUUGUCUAUUUUCCCACCCCAUUUUUCCUCAGCUCUCUCCCCGGUUCAGGGGGGAGCACCAGCAAGUGAGGGGAAGUUGGUGAAGCUGACGUGAACUUCUGCAAAGAGUCGGACUUGGAGAGGAAUUGCUCUGGGCUGAAUAAACAUUGAGCUAGUACCGCUCUGUCCUGGAAA
This 897-nucleotide long non-coding RNA is filed under the name Urocitellus parryii (Arctic ground squirrel). Its description in RNAcentral is "lncRNA (ENSUPAG00010004609.1)". The record is from RNAcentral. Lineage: Eukaryota; Metazoa; Chordata; Mammalia; Rodentia; Sciuridae.